Molecule: ribosomal RNA, 554 nt
Filed under: uncultured bacterium
Lineage: Bacteria
Description: bacterial SSU rRNA
Rfam family: Bacterial small subunit ribosomal RNA
Source: RNAcentral
AGAGUUUGAUCCUGGCUCAGAACGAACGCUGGCGGCAUGCCUAACACAUGCAAGUCGAACGAAGCCUUCGGGCUUAGUGGCGCACGGGUGCGUAACGCGUGGGAAUCUGCCCUUGGGUUCGGAAUAACAGUUAGAAAUGACUGCUAAUACCGGAUGAUGACUUCGGUCCAAAGAUUUAUCGCCCAAGGAUGAGCCCGCGUAGGAUUAGGUAGUUGGUGGGGUAAAGGCCCACCAAGCCGACGAUCCUUAGCUGGUCUGAGAGGAUGAUCAGCCACACUGGGACUGAGACACGGCCCAGACUCCUACGGGAGGCAGCAGUGGGGAAUAUUGGACAAUGGGCGAAAGCCUGAUCCAGCAAUGCCGCGUGAGUGAUGAAGGCCUUAGGGUCGUAAAGCUCUUUUACCAGGGAUGAUAAUGACAGUACCUGGAGAAUAAGCUCCGGCUAACUCCGUGCCAGCAGCCGCGGUAAUACGGAGGGAGCUAGCGUUGUUCGGAAUUACUGGGCGUAAAGCGCACGUAGGCGGCUACUCAAGUCGGGGGUGAAAGCCCGGGGC